RNAcentral lists this non-coding RNA (742 nucleotides) under Teredorus guangxiensis. Lineage: Eukaryota; Metazoa; Arthropoda; Insecta; Orthoptera; Tetrigidae. The record is from RNAcentral.
UAAAAGUUUUAUUCUUGCUUUGGGGUAAUUUAUUUGAAUGUUAUAUAUACUUAUUUAUUGAUUAGAUAUUUUCUUUUGUAGUAUUUAUAAUUGGUUUUCAAGUUAGCUUGGAUCCAGCAAUUUUUUUUUGAUAAGGUAAAUCUCGUGCCAGCAACUGCGGUUAUACGAUAUUAUCUAGAUUAUUAUUUUUUUGGUAGCAGUGUUUAUUUUCUUUUGUUUUUAUUAAUUUUUAUGUAUGGUGGAAUAUCAUAUUUUUUUUUCUUUCUUAUUUUUUUUUCUGUUAAGGCUAUUUUAUAGACUAGGAUUAGAUACCCUAUUAUUUUAGAUUUAUUUUUUUUGCCAGGUUAGUAUGUUUUGUAUUUGAAAUCUAAAGAAUUUGGCGGCAUUUUAUCUUUUUAGAGGAACCUGUUCUUUAAUUGAUAUUACACGAUUGGCUCAAUUUUAUUUAUUUGUUUGUAUAUUUCCGUUAUAAGGGAAUUUAUAGAUAAUAUUCCCUCUAUUUUAUAUGAAAAUUUAUUUCAGGUCAAGGUGCAGCUUAUAGUAGAAUUUGUAAUGGGUUACAAUGAUUUAAAUUAUAUGGAUAUUUAUUUUAAAUUUUAGGUUGAAGGUGGAUUUAUUAGUAAUUUUUAAUAAUUAUUAAGUUUGAAUUAGUUCUAAUUUGUGUACAUAUCGCCCGUCGCUCUCAUUAUUGUGAGAUAAGUCGUAACAAAGUAGGUUUACUGGAAAGUGAAUCUGGAUUAUC